GCGGCCAGAUCCGAAGCCUAAGACAAGGGGGAGGACUUAAGAUCCUCUGGCGAAGGCCUUCGUGGGUUCAAGUCCCACCCCCCGCACCA
This 89-nucleotide transfer RNA is filed under the name Candidatus Bathyarchaeota archaeon. RNAcentral describes it as "tRNA-Leu". The record is from RNAcentral. Lineage: Archaea; Thermoproteati; Candidatus Bathyarchaeota.